CAACAACUGAGGAGUCCCAUAAUAGGACGAAAUGGCCAUCCACUGUUU
Molecule: non-coding RNA, 48 nt
Organism: Schistosoma rodhaini
Lineage: Eukaryota; Metazoa; Platyhelminthes; Trematoda; Strigeidida; Schistosomatidae
Source: Rfam